Molecule: ribosomal RNA, 253 nt
Filed under: uncultured bacterium
Lineage: Bacteria
Description: partial 16S ribosomal RNA
Rfam family: Bacterial small subunit ribosomal RNA
Source: RNAcentral
UACGUAGGUGGCAAGCGUUGUCCGGAAUUAUUGGGCGUAAAGCGCGCGCAGGCGGUCCCUUAAGUCUGAUGUGAAAUCCCACGGCUCAACCGUGGAAGGUCAUUGGAAACUGGGGGACUUGAGUACAGAAGAGGAAAGCGGAAUUCCAAGUGUAGCGGUGAAAUGCGUAGAGAUUUGGAGGAACACCAGUGGCGAAGGCGGCUUUCUGGUCUGUAACUGACGCUGAGGCGCGAAAGCGUGGGGAGCAAACAGG